AGGUCUUUUUAAGCUGGCAGCAGUCCUCAGGUGGACCAUCCACACUCAGCACCACUGUGACUCAGGUCUGAACUGAUUUCCUCCGAGGAAGACAUGAGCCAGCAGGUGUGGCCUCCCCUCCUUUCUUCCUUCCCACAUCUUCGCUUGUUCGUCCCUCUUUCGCUGGUCCAAGUGGAAAACAGCCUUCACCCUUUAGUUGGAAGGUCAGAGUCUGAAAUCUCUGCACGCGUGGGGAAAUGGCCCCCUGGCUUUUCCCAGCUUCCGGAAACCGCCUGUGUUCCUUGGCUCACCGACUCUUCUUCAUAUCCCUGCAUUUCCUGCUGCCAUGGUCACAUCUACUUCUACUAAGUCCGAUUCUCUUGUCUCCUUUUGAAGCAUCUUCA
This is a long non-coding RNA of Cavia porcellus (domestic guinea pig), 383 nucleotides long. RefSeq lists it as uncharacterized. The transcript has 3 exons. The record is from RefSeq and is a predicted model, not a curated record. NCBI's taxonomy places the organism in Eukaryota, Metazoa, Chordata, Mammalia, Rodentia, Caviidae.